AGCUAAUCAGUCCCUGCUGUGGUAUUUAGACUACCUCAGUUACUGGCAUAGGAUAAUGUUAAGCGUAUUAAAAACAUCUGUAGGUGAAAUGAGGGAUCCCCAGUCUGUUUUACUCAAUUGUAAGCACUAUCCUUUAACAGAACCACUUUCUUGCUUCUGGAGGCCGUGACUUUCUUUUAGUACAUGUGGUAUACUAGUGGAAGCUCUGUCCAGCCUCGAAGAUGGCAAUGUGUGGAUGGAGGAUGUCAGCAGUUUGGAUACCACCCGAUGGAGCAGCUCUGCACUAGCACAGGUUUGGGGGCAAAGUCUCUUUGUCCCUGCCAACUACCAUCACUUACUUGUAUGGUUGACAGAAAACAAAAACAGAUUAAAACAAAAUUGAUAACAUGAGCACAGUUCCCAUGAGAUUUAAAAUUGCAGACCGAGUCAUUGGAAGGAAUACCAAGCAUAAAACAUUUCUGUAUUUAACAGCACGUGUCAAAAAUAAUAACCACUACCUAAGAUGAAAAAUGGGGGCGGUUUGCUCCCCACGGUCCCCAUGGCCAAAUUGUCUCAAACCAGUUCUGUUUCAAGUUGGAGCCAUAUUGGUUUGGCCCAGUUUCAGUCAGAACUCAGCUGAAGAUGUUUUCCAAACUUGAACACCCCCAUUUCAUCACCUACGCUUCCUGCAAACUGGAUUCACAACUAAACAAUAAUCACAGAUAAAACGUGUUUUUAGAUUAGAUAAGAUCAGCAGCACCUGAUCUUAUCUAUAUAGAAAUUCCAAAUACUGUAUCUUUGGAAUUAGCAUACACUGANUGAUUGACUGAUUGAUUGAUUGGCAUUUUUAUCCCGCCCUAUAUCCAAAGGUCUCAGGGUGGGUUACAAUUAAAACAACAACAACAACAAAACGUAAAAGGCACGCAACAAAGCAGUAGCCUGAAAGUUGGGAAUUUUCCACAAAAUGCCUCACUAAAAGAAAAUAUUGAGCUGCACAGAGGAAUGAUAUGAACCUAAACUGAGUUUCCCAAAACAGGGCAUCCUUACAGGCAUGACAGUUAUGAAAAAUACAGCAAGAAUUGUCAUACAGGAAGUAGUAAACACAUAGUUUAAAUAAUUAAUUAAAAUGGAGCUGGGCAG
This 1119-nucleotide long non-coding RNA is filed under the name Salvator merianae (Argentine black and white tegu). Its description in RNAcentral is "lncRNA (ENSSMRG00000010802.1)". Lineage: Eukaryota; Metazoa; Chordata; Lepidosauria; Squamata; Teiidae. The record is from RNAcentral.